UGAAAACUUGACCAGCAACUCGUGUAAGUGAUGCCCCGCCCCUCACAUGAAGGUUCCUCAACAUUAGGCAGCCCCAGUCUUGACGUGACAGCCACUAGGAACGGUCGUCAACAAUGUGGUCCCUAUUGUUUCUUCUUACCCUGUCAGUGGCCACAGUCCACCUUGCCAUCGAGAACCAAUUCUGGCAUGCGUCUGAGGUCUCCGUCGAAAGGGUGACAUCAAUGAGUAGCACCCAGUUAGGAUCAUUAAUUCGGUGUGCAAUGUUGGCUACCGAGAUUUCAUGGAGCCACUUGUUCGUCUUCAAGGACGGCGUCUGCUCUCUCUCUGACAUGAGGGUCGGUAAAUACCUGAAUGACUCUGACCUAGGCCCGACCAUCGCCUGCCAUACCCGGCACAUGUAUGUGUGUAGAACCAACGGCUACACCUACGCUGAUGGGGAAUCGUUGGAGGACACGUGUGGUUACUACUUCUGUGACCGCGGUACCGUCGGCAACAUUAUGAAAGCAACAACAUGCCCUUCGCCUUUCACUGAGGAUGCUGGUCUUGGGUGUGUCUACUUAAACAAAGUGUCAAUGACUUUUUGCGAUGCAAGGAAAUGGUGGGAAGCUCGGGGCUGAUCUUGCUUUUACAGACUUCACAGCCAUAGACAACUACAUCACCGACGUUAAUGAAUUAUGGGUGGGGGUGAAGGCGCGGAAGUGGGUAGAUGGGCGGCCUGUCCUGGCUUCGGAAUGGAAUCUUAACGAACCCGAUGGGCUUCCCGAAGACUGUGCGCGCCUGUUUGGACAACCCAACUCAAAACUUGCUGAUAAACCCUGUGCCAAAUCUUUUCCAUUCCUGUGUCAGAUUCCUCUGUACAAGGAGAGAGUGUAGUAGGCAAGACAUGGUGGUGUUAGUGGUGGUGAUGAUAUUGAUCGUGGUAGUGGUGAUGUGAUGGUAGUGUUAG
RNAcentral lists this unclassified non-coding RNA (946 nucleotides) under Homarus americanus (American lobster). RNAcentral's name for it is "uncharacterized LOC121858747, transcript variant X2". Lineage: Eukaryota; Metazoa; Arthropoda; Malacostraca; Decapoda; Nephropidae. The record is from RNAcentral.